RNAcentral lists this long non-coding RNA (208 nucleotides) under Elaeis guineensis (African oil palm). RNAcentral describes it as "long non-coding RNA (EGUI_LNC068343)". The record is from RNAcentral. Lineage: Eukaryota; Viridiplantae; Streptophyta; Magnoliopsida; Arecales; Arecaceae.
GGGCUGGUUCCCCAUGCUAUUGUCUUGGUUCAUCUCGAACGUCAAUGCCCUUGAUUGGCAGCAUUUCUAUCAAUUUUUUUGCUUUAAAGGUGCAACAUAGCAUUAUUGAGCAAGUACUCGGUCACCUCAGACUUGUCCUACACCUUAGGUGGGGAAAUCUCAUCAACAAGUGGUAGGUAAAAAUGAUGGCAUGCAAAGUGUUUAGGCC